RNAcentral lists this non-coding RNA (202 nucleotides) under Niastella yeongjuensis. The record is from RNAcentral. Lineage: Bacteria; Pseudomonadati; Bacteroidota; Chitinophagia; Chitinophagales; Chitinophagaceae.
UAUAUUUGCAUCGCUUUUGGUUCCCUGAUUGUAAAAAGUCAGGGAUUAAAAGGGAAUCCGGUGUAAAUCCGGAACUGGCCCGCAGCUGUAAGCUCCGAUAACCAGGGUCCCACCUCAGUCACUGUUCUCUAAUUAUCAAGAGGAUGGGAAGACAGGACCCGGGGGAGUAAGUCAGAAGACCUGCCUAAGCACUCAGCAAUUC